This 460-nucleotide ribosomal RNA is filed under the name uncultured bacterium. RNAcentral describes it as "partial 16S ribosomal RNA". It matches the Rfam family "Bacterial small subunit ribosomal RNA", at positions 338 to 795 of the family's 1533-position model. The record is from RNAcentral.
CCUACGGGUGGCAGCAGUGAGGCAUAUUGGUCAAUGGGCGGAAGCCUGAACCAGCCAAGUAGCGUGCAGGCUGACGGCCCUACGGGUUGUACACUGCUUUUAUACGGGAAUAACGCGCCUUACGUGUAGGGCUUUGCAUGUACCGUAUGAAUAAGGACCGGCUAAUUCCGUGCCCGCAGCCGCGGUAAUCCGGAAGGUCCGGGCGUUCUCCGGGUUUAUUGGGUUUAAAGGGAGCGUAGUCCGCAUGUGAAGCGUGCUGUGACAUGUCCGGGCCCAACCCGGGCCUUGCAGCGCGAACUGGCGUGCGUGAGUCCGCGGAAAGCAGGCGGAAUGCGUCGUGUAGCGGGGAAAUGCUUAGAUAUGACGAAGAACCCCGAUUGCGAAGGCAGCUUGCUGCAGCGGAACUGACGCUGAGGCUCGAAAGCGCGGGUAUCGAACAGGAGUAGAUACCCCUGUAGUC